AGGGAGGAGAGGUAGAGGAGAGAUAAAGGGAGGAGAUGUAGAGGGAGGAGAGGUAGACGGGGGUGAGGUAUAGGGAGGAGAGGUAGAGUGGGGUGAGGUAGAGGGAGGAGCGGUAGAGUGGGGUGAGGUAGAUGAGAGUUAUAGGGAGGAGAGUUAGAGGGGGUGAGGUAGAGGGAGGAGAGGUAGAGGGGGUGAGGUAGAGGGAAUAGAGGUAGAGAGGGGUAAGGUAGAGGGAGGAGAGGUAUAGUGGGGUGAGGUAGAGGGAGGAGAGGAAGAGGGAGGUGAGGUAGAGGGAGGAGAG
Long non-coding RNA from Oncorhynchus tshawytscha (Chinook salmon), 301 nucleotides. NCBI's taxonomy places the organism in Eukaryota, Metazoa, Chordata, Actinopteri, Salmoniformes, Salmonidae. The record is from Ensembl.